This 443-nucleotide ribosomal RNA is filed under the name uncultured bacterium. RNAcentral's name for it is "partial 16S ribosomal RNA". It matches the Rfam family "Bacterial small subunit ribosomal RNA", at positions 338 to 795 of the family's 1533-position model. The record is from RNAcentral.
CCUACGGGGCGCAGCAGUGGGGAAUAUUGGGCACUGGGCGCAAGCCUGACCCAGCAACGCCGCGUGAAGGAAGAAGGCUUUCGGGUUGUAAACUUCUUUUCUCAGGGACGAAGCAAGUGACGGUACCUGAGGAAUAAGCCACGGCUAACUACGUGCCAGCAGCCGCGGGAAUACGUAGGUGGCAAGCGUUAUCCGGAUUUACUGGGGGUAAAGGGCGUGUAGGCGGGACUGCAAGUCAGAUGUGAAAACCAUGGGCUUAACCUAUGGACUGCAUUUGAAACUGUCGUUCUUGAGAACUGGAGAGGCAGACGGAAUUCCUGGUGUAGCGGUGAAAUGCUUAGAGAUUAGGAGGAACACCAGUGGCGAAGGCGGUCUGCUGGACAGCAACUGACGCUGAGGCGCGAAAGCGUGGGGAGCAAACAGGAUUAGAGACCCGAGUAGUC